Molecule: non-coding RNA, 215 nt
Filed under: Thalassomonas actiniarum
Lineage: Bacteria; Pseudomonadati; Pseudomonadota; Gammaproteobacteria; Alteromonadales; Colwelliaceae
Description: Lysine sequence
Rfam family: Lysine riboswitch aptamer
About the family: Riboswitches are metabolite binding domains within certain messenger RNAs that serve as precision sensors for their corresponding targets.
Source: Rfam by way of RNAcentral
AGCACCAGAAGAGGCGCGUUAGCCAGGUAGAUAACACGAGGAACCACUUUUCCUGUGACGGUUAUUGAGGGGGACUAACGCCGAGAGCGCUAUUGCUUGUGGUCAAUAGUACUCGGUUGCCAGGGUUGAAUCCCUGGGACUGUCACUCGUUUUCGGCAACCUUUUGGGUAUUGUUAAAUGCCUGGUUUGCUAUUCGGUGGAGAGCUUCUGGCUGA